RNAcentral lists this long non-coding RNA (256 nucleotides) under Homo sapiens (human). RNAcentral's name for it is "HSALNT0218490". The record is from RNAcentral. Lineage: Eukaryota; Metazoa; Chordata; Mammalia; Primates; Hominidae.
AGCAAGGCAUUGAAAAUGAGUGCUAAAAAGAAAAGUCCUGUUUACCCUGGCCGUAUUUUGUCUGUAAACAGACUGUUGCCUCUGCUAAAAGAGAGAAGAGAUGGAGAAAAGCCUUAAAAUGGACACCCGACUUGCAUAUUCAAGGACCAGCAAAGAGGCUGAGGAAACGAACAGCCAGGAUAUGUGGAGCCUUGUAGACCACUGUCAAGACUGACUUUUCCUUGAGUGAAAUUGAGAAUGAUUAAAUGUUUUUGAA